Molecule: ribosomal RNA, 716 nt
Filed under: uncultured bacterium
Lineage: Bacteria
Description: bacterial SSU rRNA
Rfam family: Bacterial small subunit ribosomal RNA
Source: RNAcentral
AACAGGAUUAGAUACCCUGGUAGUCCACACAGUAAACGAUGUAUACUCGCGGUUUGCGAUAGACAGUAAGCCGCCAAGCGAAAGCAUUAAGUAUACCACCUGGGGAGUACGCCGGCAACGGUGAAACUCAAAGGAAUUGACGGGGGCCCGCACAAGCGGAGGAACAUGUGGUUUAAUUCGAUGAUACGCGAGGAACCUUACCCGGGCUUGAACUAGGAGUGACGAAUCUAGAGAUAGAUUUUUCUUCAGACACUCUUGGAGGUGCUGCAUGGUUGUCGUCAGCUCGUGCCGUGAGGUGUCGGCUUAAGUGCCAUAACGAGCGCAACCCUUUUCCUUGGUUGCCAUCAGGUAACGCUGGGCACUCCAGGGAUACUGCCAUCGUAAGAUGUGAGGAAGGUGGGGAUGACGUCAAAUCAGCACGGCCCUUACGUCCGGGGCUACACACGUGUUACAAUGGGGGGUACAGAAGGUCGCUACCUGGUGACAGGAUGCUAAUCUCAAAAACCUCUCCCAGUUCGGAUUGGAGUCUGCAACCCGACUCCAUGAAGCUGGAUUCGCUAGUAAUCGCGCAUCAGCCAUGGCGCGGUGAAUACGUUCCCGGGCCUUGUACACACCGCCCGUCAAGCCAUGAAAGCCGGGGGUGCCUGAAAGCCGUGACCGCAAGGGUCGGCCUAGGGUAAAACUGGUGAUUGGGGCUAAGUCGUAACAAGGUAACC